Molecule: long non-coding RNA, 706 nt
Organism: Talpa occidentalis (Iberian mole)
Lineage: Eukaryota; Metazoa; Chordata; Mammalia; Eulipotyphla; Talpidae
Exons: 3
Source: RefSeq, a predicted model, not a curated record
AGAUGCCCGACUGUGUUUAUUUUUAAUUUGAGUUUCUGAAAUUGUUCUAUUCAUCAUCAUCAAUGGAGAAUCCACAGAGGCAAACCAGAAGCUACAUGCCAAACACCCUGAUGAAUGCAAAUUUUAAACAAUCAUCUGGGGAGGUUUUCUAGACCUACUUAAGCUUCAUAAGGGUGGACACUCCUAGGUAGCUCCAAAUGCAAACAUUAAGAAGAAAGAGACUGGGGUGAAGCUGGCAGACAGCAGAAGCAAGAAGAUGCAAGAAAUGGAUUCUUCCCCAGAGCGUCCAGAGCAAGCCUGCCUCUACCAACACAGUGGCUGAUUCUGCCCCAUUGAAACUGACUUAGGACUUCUGACCUUCAUGACGGAACUAACUUUAAUAUCAAGUAGUAAAGCUCUUUAUAGAGUUUGCUUCUUAUCUGUAUGACUCCAAUUUGGAGCCAGUGUCAUAUAUUCAAGUGUACCAAUUACCAGUAAUUUAAUGGGAAGAGGAACUAAGUGAGCAUCAUAUAGCAAGUGCUUACUGGUGAAUCAACUUUGCUCUGAAAGAAAGAAAGGCUAACACAUACCAAAAUGCUACUGCAGAGAGACUGCUGGGUGCAUUCUCAACAUCACUUCCCUUCUACAUGGAAGAUGAGCAUGUUCCUCUACCCACAGUACAGAUUGCAUCUUGACAGAAUCCUUUCCUUGCAUCACUUUCUAAUAU